This 1380-nucleotide ribosomal RNA is filed under the name uncultured bacterium. RNAcentral describes it as "partial 16S ribosomal RNA". It matches the Rfam family "Bacterial small subunit ribosomal RNA", at positions 28 to 1373 of the family's 1533-position model. The record is from RNAcentral.
ACCGAACGCUGGCUCCCCGCUUCAUGCAUGCUCGUCGCUCGAUAAGUACCCAACUUUACGUAUUGUAAAUUGGCAAACCGGUGAGGAAUGGGUAGAUAAUUUACCCAGUAGAUGGGCAUCACGUUCCGAAAGGGACGCUAAUACCCCAUGAUACCCCAUAUCGUCAAGGUAUGACGUCAAAGGCUGGGGAUCUUCGGACCUACCGCUCUUGGAUCGGUCUGCUUCCUACCAGCUACUUGGCGGGGUAAUGGCCCACCAAGGCUGCGACAGGUACCCGGGCUGAGAGGCUGAUCGGGCACAUCCGCACUGAGACACUGGCCGGACACCUACGGGUGGCUGCCGUUCGGAAUAUUCGGCAAUGGACGAAAGUCUGACCGAGCGACGCCGCGUGCGGGAUGAAGGCCCUAUGGGUUGUAAACCGCUUUCGCGAUUAAAUAAAUCAUGUUUGAUUAACAAUCGGGCCUGUUGAAUAAGGAUCGUAAAGAAGCCCCCGCUAAUCACGUGCCAGCAGCGGCGGUAAUACGUGAGGGGCGAACGUUGUUCGGUGUCACUGGGCUUAAAGGGUGCGUACGUGGUUCUGUAAGUAAGGUGUGAAAUCCCUCGGCUUACCCCGGGGAAUUGCAUUUUAUACUGCAGGACUUGAGGGCUAAAGGGGAAAAGGGAACUCCAGGUGUAGCGGUGAAAUGCGCAGAUAUCUGGGGGAAGGCCGGCGGCGAAGGCGCUUUUCUGGUUAGUACCUGACACUGAGGCACGAAAGCGUGGGGAGCAAACAGGAUUAGAUACCAUGGUAGUCCACGCCGUAAACUAUGGAUACCACUUAGAAGGUCCUGCAAGGGACUUUUUAACGGAGCAAAAGCGUUAAGUAUCCCGCCUGGGGAGUAUGGUCGCAAGGCUGAAACUCAAAGGAAUUGACGGGGGCUCACACAAGCGGUGGAGCAUGUUGCUUAAUUCGAUGCAACGCGAAGAACCUUACCCGGGCUCGAAAUGUACGGAUUAAUCCUGUGAAAGCAGGAGUACGCUGGCAAGAGUGGAACGUAUAUAGGUGUUGCAUGGCUGUUGUCAGCUCGUGUCUUGAGAUGUCGGGUUAAGUCCCUUAACGAGCGAAACCCCUGUUUUUAGUUGCCAUCAGGUUAUGCUGGGAACUCUAGAGAGACUGCCGGUGUUACACCGGAGGAAGGUGGGGAUGACGUCAAGUCAUCAUGGCCCUUACGUCCGGGGCGGCAAACGUGCUACAAUUGUCAUUACAGCGCGACGUGAUACCGCGAGGUGGAGCAAAUCGGUUAAAAAUGGCACCAGUUUGUAUUGGGAGGGUGCAAUUUGCCCCCAAGAAGCCGGAAUCGUUAGUAAUCGGGGAUCAGGCACGCCGCGGCGAAUAAGUUC